Molecule: ribosomal RNA, 116 nt
Filed under: Colletotrichum higginsianum
Lineage: Eukaryota; Fungi; Ascomycota; Sordariomycetes; Glomerellales; Glomerellaceae
Also listed under: 2 other names
Source: RNAcentral
ACGACCAUACCCACUGGAGAACUCGGGAUCCCGUCCGCUCUCCCAUAGAUAAGCCAGUGAGGGCCGGAUUAGUAGUUGGGUCGGUGACGACCAGCGAAUACCUGGUGUUGUAUGUU